AGAGUUUGAUCCUGGCUCAGGAUGAACGCUGGCGGCGUGCUUAACACAUGCAAGUCGAACGAUCCUUCGGGAUAGUGGCGGACGGGUGAGUAACGCGUGGGAAUCUGCCCUCAGGAGGGGGAUAACGGCUGGAAACGGCCGCUAAUACCCCAUAUGCCGAGAGGUGAAAUGAAUUUCGCCUGAGGAUGAGCCCGCGUCUGAUUAGCUAGUUGGUGGGGUAAAGGCCUACCAAGGCAACGAUCAGUAGCUGGUCUGAGAGGAUGAUCAGCCACACUGGGACUGAGACACGGCCCAGACUCCUACGGGAGGCAGCAGUGGGGAAUUUUCCGCAAUGGGCGAAAGCCUGACGGAGCAACGCCGCGUGAGGGAUGAAGGCCUCUGGGCUGUAAACCUCUUUUCUCAAGGGAGAAGACCUGACGGUACUUGAGGAAUAAGCCACGGCUAAUUCCGUGCCAGCAGCCGCGGUAAUACGGGAGUGGCAAGCGUUAUCCGGAAUUAUUGGGCGUAAAGCGUCCGCAGGCGGCCUUGUAAGUCUGUUGUUAAAGCGUGGAGCUCAACUCCAUUUAAGCAAUGGAAACUACAAGGCUGGAGUGUGGUAGGGGCAGAGGGAAUUCCCGGUGUAGCGGUGAAAUGCGUAGAUAUCGGGAAGAACACCAGUGGCGAAGGCGCUCUGCUGGGCCAUAACUGACGCUCAUGGACGAAAGCCAGGGGAGCGAAAGGGAUUAGAUACCCCUGUAGUCCUGGCCGUAAACGAUGAACGCUAGGUGUCGGGGGAAUCGACCCCCUCGGUGUCGUAGCCAACGCGUUAAGUGUUCCGCCUGGGGAGUACGCACGCAAGUGUGAAACUCAAAGGAAUUGACGGGGGCCCGCACAAGCGGUGGAGUAUGUGGUUUAAUUCGAUGCAACGCGAAGAACCUUACCAGGGUUUGACAUCCUGCGAACCCCUGAGAAAUCGGGGGGUGCCUUCGGGAGCGCAGAGACAGGUGGUGCAUGGCUGUCGUCAGCUCGUGUCGUGAGAUGUUGGGUUAAGUCCCGCAACGAGCGCAACCCACGUCUUUAGUUGCCAGCAUUCAGUUGGGCACUCUAGAGAGACCGCCGGUGAUAAACCGGAGGAAGGUGUGGAUGACGUCAAGUCAUCAUGCCCCUUACAUCCUGGGCUACACACGUACUACAAUGCUACGGACAAAGGGCAGCAAGCUCGCGAGAGUUAGCAAAUCCCAUAAACCGUGGCUCAGUUCAGAUCGUAGGCUGCAACUCGCCUACGUGAAGGAGGAAUCGCUAGUAAUCGCAGGUCAGCAUACUGCGGUGAAUACGUUCCCGGGCCUUGUACACACCGCCCGUCACACCAUGGAAGUUGGCCAUGCCCGAAGUCGUUACUCCAACCCUUGUGGAGGAGGACGCCGAAGGUGGGGCUGAUGACUGGGGUGAAGUCGUAACAAGGUA
This 1443-nucleotide ribosomal RNA is filed under the name metagenome. RNAcentral describes it as "bacterial SSU rRNA". It matches the Rfam family "Bacterial small subunit ribosomal RNA". The record is from RNAcentral.